Molecule: long non-coding RNA, 12228 nt
Filed under: Elaeis guineensis (African oil palm)
Lineage: Eukaryota; Viridiplantae; Streptophyta; Magnoliopsida; Arecales; Arecaceae
Description: long non-coding RNA (EGUI_LNC029235)
Source: RNAcentral
CAAACAUGAUAUCAAUGUAUCACAAUAGAAUUAAUAAUAAAUUAAUUUUAAAAUUAAACUAACUAAAAUCAAUUUUUAUCUCUCACAAAAUUUGAAUAACAUUUAAAAGAUCUUUCAUUAAUUAAAUCUUGAAUAAUAAUCUUGUAAAAUAUAAUAAUAAGUCUAUUUUUAUACUUGAUUGACACUAUCGACUCUUGCUUUUAAUUCACUCCCAAAAUAAUAUCCACAUCCAUAAUUAAGAAUCUGAAUCCGCAAAAAAAGGAGAGGUAAUAAACUUGAUAGUCCAGUAAGUAAUAAAUAUCUCAACUAGAUAUUUUAGAUAUUAUCAUAAGAUAUGAUGCUCGAAAAUAAGUGCUAUGAAUAUCAUAAGAACAUAUAUUCCAUGCCAAUUAAUACAAAUCAAAUCUUUUCAAGUACUCAUAUACAUACAUAAUCAUAAAUCCAAUUCAAAAUAAAAUACAUAUAACUCAACCAUACUUAUUUCUAUGGCAAGGUCAGAAUAGAGUGAUAACAUACAAUCCCACUGGCAGGGUCCAAAAAUCAAUAUAUAACUUUCACUAGCAAGGUCCAAAAAUCAAUACAUAACUCCACUGGCAGAGUGUAAAAAAUCAAUAUAUAACCUCGAUUGGCAAAAUUCGAAAACCAAUGUAUAACCUCUAUUGGCAGGCUCCAAAAUAUAAUUAGGCUAAAAACAUAAAAUUCGAUUCGUAUCAAAAUACUUUUGCAACAGAACAUAUAAGUACCAUAAUUCUAUUGAACAUAUGCAAAUUCUAUAAUAAAUCAAUAAAUCAUAAUAUUUUAAAAAUCUCAAAUUUUACAAUCACUUUCAUUCAAAAAAUUAUUGUUAAAUCAUGCAUAACUUCAAAUAUCAAUUAUUUACUUUCAAAAUAAAUUAUGAAAUAUCUCGAAAAGAUAGUUUACUAUUUAUCUCUGUGGAUCACUGAAUGGUCAGAUUCAGUCAAUCUUGAGAGAAUCUUUCAGAACUAAUUAUUCAAAAUAUAUUCUUCUAUCAGUCUUAAACCGUAAUCAAUAAAAAAUCCUAAGUUACGACAUCCUCGCAAAACUGAUCAGAAAUGGUAGCCUCCAACGUCUUAGUUAGUCUAAUCAAAAUAAUUUUAUCUGAUCAUGCUUAGAAUAAGAAGCAGAUGGUCUAAUAAAGAUCAAGGGUGAUCAAAUCUAUUAGUGUCCGAUAAAAAUCAAAGUAGAGGUCAGUACACCAAUUGAGAGUCAGGAAUUAAUUUGAUCAAGUAGCUUUAUUUAAUCAAGAUCAUUUAAAAUAUGAUGAUCUAAUAAAGAUCAAUAAGGAUCAAAUCUUGUGAUACUAAAUAAAGGCUCGGAUGGUGUGGGCAUGUUAUCUAAUUGACAAAGUAGUUCGAAAUCCUCUUUUUGAAUCAACUCAUAUUUAAAGCAAUAGGUCAGGUUCACUAAUUUCAUAAAUCACGUAGUGAAGAAAAUAUCAAAAGAAAAAUAAAUUAACAAGAUGGAACAGAGCUAAUCAGACGAUACUAUCCGAUAAUCAUCGGUCUAAUCAAAAUGAUUUAAAAUCGAGGACUUGAUUUACGAUUGUGUUUGCAGAAAAACUUUGCCGGAGGUAAAAUAAGAGUUCUUUAAAGCACUAGCUAAUCUUUUUAUCCACCAUUUCUGGCCCUUAGACUUUGACUCCGAUCGGCAAUCACCAAAUUUUCUAUUUUUUUUAAAAAAAACUUUUGAAUUUUUUCUUUUUUUCUAUGUUUGUUUUUAUUUUCUUCACCACCGUCAUUGUCGUCAGUCAUCGGACCAGGGGUGAUUUGCCCUUCUGACCAUAGGCACCAUCAGUUGGGGUAUUUCCCUCCUUCGAGAAAUAAGUGGAUGAUGGUCCCUAUUUUGUAAAGCACCCAUCAGAGGAAAUAAGAAGAAGAAUAAAACAAAGAAGGAAAAAGAAAGGAGAGAGAAAGUUUUUCUCUCUCUUCCCUCUCAAUCUUCUUUGAGUUUGCAUCUCCACUUUCUCUCUCUAAAAAGUUUCUUUUUAGAAAAUUUUUUUCUUUCUCUUUCUACUUUCUCUCUUUACGAAUUAUCUCUUUCUAGAAUUAUUUUUUUCUAAAAAAUUAUUCCUCUAAAAUUAAUCGAAUAAAAAUUUUCUCUCAAUGAUUUUGAUAUGACCUUAGCAAAGAGAAUCCUGAUCGGUGGUCACUAUAUAGCAUGCUGGCAUCUAUCUUAACUAGAUUAGAUACCAUUAGAUUCAAUUAUUUAUGAUUUAAUCAUUUAUACACUAAUUCAAUCAUGACUUGAUUAAAUUAUCUUGAUUAGAUCGAUCGGAUUGUCGAAUAAUGUCGUUUGAUUAGCUUUAUUCCAUCUUGUUAAUUUAUCAUUCUUCUGGUAUUCUCCCUAUGUGAUUUAUGAAACUAGCGAACUCAAUUUAUUACUUUAAAUCUGAGUUGAUUCCAGUAGAACAUUUUAAACUGCUCUGUUAAUCGGAUAAUAUGCCCACACCAUUCGAACUUUCAUCAAGCAUCGUAAGAUUUGAUCAUUAUUAAAAUCUAUUAGAUCAUUAUAUUUUAAGUGAUCCUGAUUAGAUGAAGCUACUUAAUCAAAUUGAUUCUUGACUAUCAAUCAAUGUAUCGACAUCUACUUUAAUUUUUGUCAAACACUAAUAGAUUUGAUCAUCUUUGAUCUUUAUUGGACUAUUAGUUUCCUAUUUAAGUAUGAUUAGGUAAAAUUAUCUUAAUUGCACCGACUAAGAUGUUAGAUGCUUCCGCUUUUGGUUAGCUUUGCGAGGAUGUCAGAACUAAAUAUUUUUUAUUAGUUAUGGUUUAAGACUGAUAAAAUAAUAUAUUUUGAAUUAUAGAUUCUGAAGGAUGUUCUCAUUAUUGAUUGAAUCUGUUCAUUCAGUAUUCUAUAAAAGUAAGUAAUAAACUAACUUUCAAGAUAUUUAUAAUUUAUUUUGAAAGUAAAUAAUUGAUCUCUGAAGUUAUGCAUGAUUUAAAAAAUUAUUUUUUGAAUGAAAGUAAUUUAAAAAUUUAAAAUUUUUAGAAUAUUAUGAUUUAUUAAUUUAUUAUAGAAUAUACAUAUAUUCAAUGGAAUUAUGAUGCCUAUAUAUUAUGUUGCAAAAAUGCUUUGAUACAAAUCAGAUUUUGUUCUCUCAUGUUAAUUAUGUUCUGGACCCUACCAAUAGGGGUUAUAUGUUAGUUUUUGGAUUCCACUAAUAGGAGUUAUACAUUGACUUUGGGACACUGCUAGUGGAUAUUAUGUAUAUUUUGAAUUAAAUUUAUGAUUAUGUAUGCAUACGAGUAUUUGAAAAGAUAUGAUUUGCAUUAAUUGACAUGGAAUACAUGUUCUUAUGAUAUUCAUGACAUUUAUUUUUGAACAUCAUAUCUUAUGAUAAUUACCUCUUAUUUCUUUCCAGAUUCUUAAUUAUGGAUGUUGAUACUACUUUAGGAGUGAGUUAGAAGCAAAAGCCGACAGUAUCAAUGGAGUUUAGACAAAGAUUUAUUAUAAUGUUUUACAAGAUUAUUAUUCGAAGUUUAAUUGAUAUAAGAUCUCUUGAAUAUUAUUAAAAUUUUAUUAGAGAUAAAAAUUGAUUUUAGUUAGCUAAAUUUUGGAUUUAAUUUAUUAUAAAUUUCUCUGUGAUGCAUUAAUAUUGGGUUUGGAAUAUCUUGUAUGCUUAUCGAGAGAGUUCUUUAGGAGUAUGGAGGCAGUUAUCGUAAAUCAGGGUUGCGACAACUACCACAUAUUCAUGGAGAACUCUCUCUACAAAUAUGCAAGAUAUUCUAAACAUGAUAUCAAUGCAUUACAAUAGAAUUCAUAAUAAAUUAAUUUUAAAAUUAAACUAACUAAAAUCAACUUUUAUCUCUCACAAAAUUUGAAUAACAUUCAAAAGGUCUUUCAUUAAUUAAACCGCAAAUAAUAAUCUUGUAGAAUAUAGUAAUAAGUCUACUUUUAUACUCGAUUGAUACUAUCAACUCUUGCUUCUAACUCACUCCCAAAGCAAUAUCCACAUCCAUAAUUAAGAAUAUGAAUCUAAAAAAAAAAAGAAGAAGAGAUAAUGAACUUGAUAGUCCAGUAAGUAAUAAAUAUCUCAACUAGACAUCUUAGAUAUUAUCAUAAGAUAUGAUGCUCAAAAAUAAAUACUAUAAAUAUUAUAAAAAUAUAUAUUCUAUGCUAAUUAAUACAAAUCAAAUAUUUUUAAAUACUCAUAUACAUACAUAAUCAUAAAUUCAAUUCAAAAUAAAAUAUAUAUAACUCAACAACCUUAAUUAUGACCAUACUUAUUCCUAUAGCAGGGUCAGAACAGAGUGAUAAUAUAUAAUCCCACUGGCAGGGUCCAAAAAUCAAUACAUGACUUCCACGAGCAAAGUCCAAAAAUCAAUACAUAACUCCAUUGGCCGAGUGCAAAAAUCAAUGUAUAAUCUUGAUUGGUAAGAUUCAAAAAUCAACGUAUAACCUCUAUUGACAGGGUCCAAAACAUAAUUAGGCUGAGAACACAAAAUCCGAUCCGUAUCAAAAAAAACUUUUGCAACAGAACAUAUAAGCAUCAUAAUUCUAUUAAACAUAUGUAUAUUCCACAAUAAUCAGUAAAUCAUAAUAUUUCAAAAAUCUUAAAUUUUUGCAAUCACUUUCAUUCAAAAAAUAGUUUGUUAAAUCAUGCAUAGCUUCAAAGACCAAUUAUUUGCAUUCAAAAUAAAUUAUGAAAUAUCUCGAAAAGAUAGUUUACUAUUUAUCUCUGCAGAACACUGAACGAACAGAUUCAGUCAAUCUUGAGAGAAUCUUUUAGAAUCAAUUAUUCAAAAUAUAUUCUUCUAUCAGUCUUAAACUAUAAUCAAUAAAAAAUUCUAAGUUACGACAUCCUCACAAAACUGAUCAAAAAUAGUAGCAUCCAACGUCUUAGUUAGUUCAAUCAAAAUAAUUUUAUCUGAUCAUGCUUUAGAAUAAGAAGCAGAUGGUCUAAUAAAGAUCAAGGGUGAUCAAAUCUAUUAGUGUCUGAUAAAAGUCAAAGUAGAAGUCAGUACACCAAUUGAGAGUCAAAAAUUAAUUUGAUCAAGUAGCUUUAUUUAAUCAGGAUCAUUUAACAUAAAAUGAUCUAAUAAAGAUCAAAAGGACCAAAUCUUGUGAUAUUGGAUAAAAACUCAGAUGGUGUGGGCAUGUUGUCUAAUUGACAGAGUAGUUCGAAACCCUCUACUUGAAUCAACUCAUAUUUAAGGUGAUAGAUCAUGUUCACUGGAUUCAUAAAUCACAUAGUGAAGAAAAUAUCAAAAGAAAAAUAAAUUAAAAAGAUGGAACAGAGCUAAUCAGAUGAUACUAUCCGAUAAUUCGAUCGGUCUAAUCAAGAUGAUUUAAUCAAAUCAUGAUUGAAUUAGUAUAUACAUGAUUCAAUAAAAAUUAUAGAUAAUUGAACCUAAUGAUAUCUAGAUCUAACCAAGAUGGAUGUCGGUACGUUAUCCGACGGCCGUGGAUCAGGACUUUCUUUAUUAAGGUCAAAUUAGAAUCACUGAGAGAAGGCUUUUUACUCGAUCAAUUUUAAAGAGAUAAUUUUAUAGAGAGAAAAUCUGUAGAGAAAAAAAGAGAAACUUUCUAGAGAAAAAAAGUGGGGAUGCAAACUCAGAAAAGAUUGAGAGGAAAGAGAGAGAAACUCUCUCUUCUUCUUUUUUUCUUCUUCUUCUUCUUUUCUCUUGUGGGUUCUUUACAAAAUAGGGACCGUCAUCCUCUUAUUUCUUGAAGUGGAGGAAUACCCCAAUUGGUGGUGCUCAUGGUCGAAAGGGCAAACCACAAUGGUGCGACCCAAGGCCCCUGGUCCGAUGAUUGAUGACGAUGGCGGCGGUGAAGAAAAUAAAAAUAAAUAUGAAAAAAAUAAGGAAAAUUCACAAGCUUGUUUUUUUUUCACAAAAAAUCCGACGAUUCUCGGUAGGAAUCAAGGUCUAAGGGCUAGGAACAGUGGAGAGAAAGAUCAGCUAGUAUUUUAGAGAACUCUUACCUCACCUUCAGCAAAGUUUUUCUGGCAAACACCACUAUGAAUCAAGUCCUCGGCUCUAGAAAAAAUUAGGAAAGAAAAAAGGUUGGGCUCAGACGAUUGAUCUUAGUGGAGUAUUAGAGCCUUUAAAUAGAUGCUACUGGGAGGAUUGGAGAUCAAAAUAGGUUGAAUCUGAAUCAAAUUAAGCCUCCUUUCAGUCAGAAAGAAAGGAAGAAAGAACUCCUUCGAGAGUUUCAGUUGGUUGUCCAUAGCCCAGCAUGUGCUGGCUUAAAAAUUUUGCUUUUUUUCAGUGCUUUAGAGAUCGUAUUAUAUCUUUUGGGCUUGAGUCUGAAUGGGAACCGGGGUAUUACAAUGUGUUUCUUGAAAAGUUUGUUAUUGAAUUCUCAGUAAAAGUUAGCUUUUUUUCGUGCAUUAUUUGUUUGGUAGAUCUAAGUGAAGAUAAUAUUGUCAAAUAAAUGAUCUUCUUAAUUUGUCCAUAAAAAGAUGAGGUGAUAUUUUGCUGCACACAUUGUUCAUGUGUAUUACAUGUCUCAAACCAGAUGCAAGAUGACUUGAUUCUAGUAUAUGUGGAAUGUUCUCUAAAUUAUCCAGGUAAUUUUGAUAAGCAGAUAGUUGAGUAGUGUUUCCUUUCCAUUAUGUAUUACUUGAAAAGGAUUCAAAUUUAAAAUGUUAUGUAUUACUUAGUCAAUACAACUAUAUAAGCACGGGGCGUUUUCGUACUUGGCAUUCUUAAGCCCAAUAUUAUUAUAUAGCCCACAAAUCCAAAGCCCAAGGGCAAAUUUUGCGAUCAGUUGUACAUAUAGUAAAGCAUAGAAUAUAGAUCAGUGAUCAGUCCACCAUAAAUAUUUCUUUGAGAGUGGAAUUGAAACGAAGCGUUGACGUGACAACAAGAGCAACGAGCUAACAUGGUCUAGUGCCGACAUGCUAGCGCAAAUGCCCAGUCAGGCAACUUCUCAAACAAGUGGCGUGCGAGUUCGGGUAGCAAGAUUUCACACAAAGCAGGGCAAAGACGUGGAGGAUGGUCGCGAACAGAAGGAUGAGAGUAAAGUCAACAAGUCGCUCAGAUCCAUGUCGGUGUCCGUUCCGUUGAAUGUUGAAUUCGGUUCCGUUGGAAUUGGAGGGAUGCAGGAGGAGCGUGAGCUGGGGGUGAAAGCUGACUGCUUGCUUAUUUUACGUGUCAGCAACCUACAAGGAGAGGGUGGACUUGGGGUCAGGAAAUCCCGGUCACAGAGGAUGUGGAUAACCUAUGAAGAGGUGCAAAAUAAUUCCAUGGAAGGUUGAUAGAAAAAUGCACAACUCCUGUCCUUGUUGACCACUUUCGCUGCUUUGUUUAGCAUUUACCAAACACAAAUCCAUAAAUCAAACUGACAAUCUUGUGUCUGAGAAGCUAACAGACUAUGGUAGUGGUGGUAGCGGUGGGGUGUUAAUAGUGACAGCGAAGAUACGGUAGAGGCCAUAACAGAGUUGGUGGGGGAGCGACGAUGGCGAUGAUAAUAGUAACGAUAGUAAUAAAAGAUCUAAUGAUGAUAGUAAUAAUGAUAAUAGUGAUAAUGAUGAUAAUAGUAACGAUAAUAGUGAUAAUGAUGAUAAUAGUAACGAUAGUAAUAAGAUCUAAUGAUGAUAGUAAUAAUGAUGAUAGUAAUAAUGAUAAUAGUGAUCAUAAUAAUGUCAAUAAUGCCAAUAACAAUAGAGAUGGCAUCUAUAAUAAUGGCGGUAAAAGAUCUUAAGUUUUUUUUUNUUUUUUUUUUUUUUUUAAGUCAUGAAAAUAAUAAUUUUUUGAAAAAUCAAAAAUAAAUUGAUUGCACUAAAAUUUAUUUCUUCUCAAGUUUUAUAAGUUAUUAAAAAUAAAAAAGAAAUUUCUUUUUUAUUUUAUAUAUAAAAUUUCUUUCUUCUCAACCGCACCUGGAAUCGGGGGCCAUCGGAUCAAGACGCCAGCCCCGUCACACGUGCAAUCAUUCCUCUCGUUCCAUAUAAAGACUCCCGUACCAGAGCAGAUCCAACGGCUCCGAGAUGAAGACAUAAAAUACCAGACGUUAUGUUGCGCACCUGAAACGCCACGUGGCACUAGUCCACCACUUCUCAUCAGGGCUUUGUUAAAUUAACAGGAGGCGCCGUCUUCCCGCUUCUGGAACCCAGAGUCGAUGGGUGCCCAAUAGAGCGCACCGUUUGUCCUCUUCUCCUCCCCCUCCUCCCCCCCCCGGCCCCCCUUCGGAGGAGACCGGCGCAAGCGUGGAAGCCGAUCUUUGAGAGCGGUUUAGUUUUCUUUUUCCCUUCUUGAAUUUGUGCUUUGGCUUCGCGGAUUGGGGCUUCUUGGUUUUCUCCAAGAGGUCGAAUCGUAUCGGAGAUGGCGAUGGGAUGGUAUCCGGCAGAAACUUGAGCUCCCCUCUCGUAUCAGGUUCUUUUAAGCUUUUCUUGGUCAUCGAUUCUUGGCAUCUUGUCAUCUCAUUUCAAGCAUCUGUUCUGUUGGUAAUUUUUCUUGUUUAUUUUUCUUUCUUUUCUUGGUUUCUCCCAUCAUUAACUUCUAGUUGGAGUUUGUGAAAUCAAAAUUCUGCGCGAUUAAAUGCUGCAUCGGUAUCAGGUUCUUCGAUAUUACUUUUUUUUUGGGUUGUCGAUUCUUGAUCUUCUUCGUGGAUCUGUUCUGUUGGUAUAUUUUCUUGUUUCCCCUUUCCUUCUUGUUUUGAGUUAUCGUUAAUUUCUUGUUGGAAUCUGCAGAUCAAAAUUCCAUGAGAUCACGUGCUGCACUGUUUUCAGGUUCAUUGAUCUUUUUUUCACCCGAUUCUUGACGUCCUGUAAUCUUCUUUUAAGAAACGAUUUUGUUGGUAUUUUUUCUUUUUCUUUCUUUUUCCUUGAUCUUUUAUUGUCUUGUUCAAUCAUAAUUUGUAUCUGAAGUUGUCGUAAUUUAAAUUUAGUGUGAUUAUGUGUUGCAUCGAUGUGUUAGCUAUGAUGGGUAUUUAUUGUUAAAUACUAGUGGAAUUUAGGAAUGUAGGAUGGGAUGGUUCUUGGAGGAUGGAAUAAAUUUUUGGAGUUUUGAUUUGUUAUUUCGUCUUGUAGUUUCUUGCAUAAUGUGUGUAAUACCUCUGUUCCCAUUCAAACUCAAGCCCAAAAGAUAUAGCACGAUCUUUAAAGUACUGAAAAUAAAAAAAGAGAAACUUUUUAAGCAGCACGGGCUGAGCUAUGGAUAGCCAACUAAAACUCUCGAAGGAGUUCUUUCUUCCCUUCUUCCCAAUUGAAAAGAGACCUAAUUUGAUUGGGAUUCAAUUUAUUUUUUUACUCCAAUCUUCCUACUAGCGUCUAUUUAAAAGCUCAGACACUCCUCUCAGAUCAAUUGUUGGAGUCGGACCUUUUUUUUUCCUAAUUUUCUCUGGAGCCUACUUGAUUUACGGUUGUGUUUGUCGAAAAACUUUGCCGGAGGUCAGAUAAGAGUUCUCUAAAGCACUAGCUGAUCUUUCUAUCCAUCAUUCUUGACCUUUAGACUUUGAUUCCGAUCGGCAAUCGUUGAAUUUUCUUUUUUUUUUUAAAGCUUCUAUUUUUUUUUUUUAAUGUUUGUUUUUAUUUUUUUUACCACCAUUGUUGCCGUUAGUCAUUGGACCAAGGCCACUGCUAUGGUUUUCCCUUCUGGCCAUGGGCACCACCAGUUGGGGUAUUCCCUUCCUUCAGAAAAUAAGGGGAUUAUGGUCUCUAUUUUGUAAAGAACCCACUAGAGGAAAGCAAAAAAAAAAAAACCUUUUUCUUUCUACUUUCUUGUCUCUAAAAUUUUUUUUUAAUUUUUUCUCUCUACUUUCUCUCUUUACGAAUUUUCUCUUUUUAAAAUUAUUUUUUUCUAAAAAAUUAUCUCUCUAAGAUUAAUUGGAUAAAAAUUUUCUCUCAAUGAUUUUGAUAUGACUUUAGCAAAGAGAAUCCUAAUCGGUGGUCACCAGACAGUAUACUGGCAUCCAUCUUAACCAGAUCAGAUAUCAUUAGAUUCGAUUAUUUAUGAUUUUUAUUAAAUCAUUUAUACUCUAAUUCAAACAUGACUUUAUUAAAUCAUCUUGAUUAGACUGAUCGGAUUGUCGAAUAAUAUUGUUUGAUUAACUUUAUUUCAUCUUGUUAAUUUAUUGUUCUUCUGAUAUUCUCUCUAUGUGAUUUAUAAAACUAGUGAACUUGAUUUAUUGCUUUAAAUCUGAGUUGAUUUCAGUAGGAGAUUUUGAACUACUCUGUUAAUCAGACAAUAUGCCAACACCAUUCGAGCCUUCAUCUAGUAUCAUAAGAUUUGAUCAUUAUUAAUCUUUAUUAGAUCAUUAUAUUUUAAGUGAUUCUGAUUAGAUGAAGCUAUUUAAUCAAAUUGAUUCUUGACUAUCCAUUAGUGUAUCAAUAUCUACUUUGAUUUAUGUCAGACACUAAUAGAUUUGAUCAUCUUUGAUCUCUAUUGGACUAUCUAUUUUCUAUUUUAAAUAUGAUUAGAUAAAAUUAUCUUAAUUAGAUCGACUAAAACGUUAGAUGCUUCCGCUUCUGAUUAGCUUUGUGGGGAUGUCAGAACUUAAUAUUUUUUAUUAGUUGUAGUUUAAGACUGAUAAAAUAAUAUAUUUUAAAUAAUAAAUUUUGAAAGAUGCUCUCAUGAUUGAUUGAAUAUGUUCGUGCAGUAUUUUAUAAAGAUAAGUAAUGAACCAACUUUCAAGAUAUUUAUAAUUUAUUUUGAAAGCAAAUAAUUGAUCUCUGAAGUUAUGCAUGAUUUAAAAAUUAUUUUUUGAAUGGAAGUAAUUGAAAAUUUUAAGAUUUUUAGAAUAUUAUGAUUUAUUGAUUUAUUAUGGAAUAUGCAUAUAUUCAAUGAAAUUAUGAUACUUAUAUAUUAUGUUGUAAAAGUGUUUUGAUAUAGAUCGAAUUUUAUUCUCUCACUUUAAUUAGGUUCUGGAUCCUACCAAUAGAGGUUAUAUAUUGAUUUUUAGAUUCUACCAAUAGGGGUUAUACAUUGAUUUUGGGAUACUGCUAGUGGAUGUUAUGUAUUGAUUUUUGGAUCCAGCCAAUGGGAGUUAUGCAUUAAUUUUUGGAUCCUACUAAUGGAGAUUAUAUAUUGGCACUCUGUUCUAGCCUUGUCAUAGGGAUAAAUAUGGUCGUAGUUAAGACUGUUAAGCUAUAUAUUUUUUAUUUUGAAUUAGAUUUAUGAUUAUGUAUGCAUAUGAGUAUUUGAAAGAUUUGAUUUGCAUUAAUUAGUAUAGAAUACAUAUUCUUAUGAUAUUCAUGGCAUUUGUUUUUGAGCAUCAUAUCUUAUGAUAAUAUCUGAAAUAUUUAAUAAGAUAUUCAUUAUUUACUAGACUAUCGAGCUCAUUACCUCUUCUUUCUUUUCAGAUUCAGAUUCUUAAUUAUGGAUAUUGAUACUAUUUUUGGAGUAAGUUAGAAGCAAGAGCCGAUAGUAUCAAUAGAGUUUAGACAAAGAUUUAUUAUAAUAUUUUACAAGAUUAUUAUUCAAAAUUUAAUUGAUAUAAGAUCUUUUGAAUAUUAUUAAAAUUUUAUUAGAGAUAAAAGUUAAUUUUGGUUAGUUAAAUUUUAGACUUAAUUUAUUAUAAAUUUCACUGUGAUGUAUUAAUAUCGUGUUUGGAAUACCUUGCAUGCUUAUGAAGAGAGUUCUCCAGAAAUAUGCGGAUGGUUAUCGUAAGCCAGGGUUACGACAACCAUCAUAUAUUCAUAGAGAACUUUCUCCACAAAUAUGUAAGACAUUCCAAACAUGAUAUCAAUAUAUCAUAAUAGAAUUCAUAAUAAAUUAAUUUUAAAAUUAAACUAACUAAAAUCAAUUUUUAUCUCUCACAAAAUUUGAAUAACAUUCAAAAGAUCUUUCAUUAAUUAAAUCUUGAAUAAUAAUCUUGUAAAAUAUAAUAAUAAGUCUAUUUUUAUACUCGAUUGAUACUAUCGACUCUUGCUUCUAACUCACUCCCAAAGUAAUAUCCACGUCCAUAAUUAAGAAUCUGAAUCUGCAAAAAAAGGAAAGGUGAUAAACUUGAUAGUCUAGUAAGUAAUAAAUAUCUCAACUAGAUAUUUUAGAUAUUAUCAUAAGAUAUGAUGCUUAAAAAUAAGUGCUAUGAAUAUCAUAAGAACAUAUAUUCCAUGCCAAUUAAUAUAAAUUAAAUCUUUUCAAGUACUCAUAUACAUACAUAAUCAUAAAUCCAAUUCAAAAUAAAAUACAUAUAACUCAACCAUACUUAUUUCUAUGGCAGGGUCAGAAUAAAGUGAUAAUAUACAAUCCCACUGGCAGGGUCCAAAAAUCAAUAUAUAACUUUCACUAGCAAGGUCCAAAAAUCAAUACAUAACUCCAC